RNAcentral lists this long non-coding RNA (266 nucleotides) under Musa acuminata (dwarf banana). RNAcentral describes it as "long non-coding RNA (MACU_LNC010228)". The record is from RNAcentral. Lineage: Eukaryota; Viridiplantae; Streptophyta; Magnoliopsida; Zingiberales; Musaceae.
CCAGAUAUAGUAGUUAUGUUUUGAAUUCCAAUUCUUAUCUUUAUAUAGUUCCGGACUUAACGUAGUUCUAACAAUUCCUUUUUUCGCUCGCCAAGUCCUAUGUUCGGGAACUCAAUCAAAUAUGUUAUGAUGGGCGUCGACUUGCCUAGUGUCUUGUCGUCUUGUCCGCUUGGCUGCCCUAACUAACAAACUAAACAUAUAUUAGGGUCGGGUUCCGAUGUGCUCUUUAAUAACAUACAUGUAUUUUGAUCCUUUAAUAACAUACA